Molecule: transfer RNA, 72 nt
Filed under: Opisthorchis viverrini
Lineage: Eukaryota; Metazoa; Platyhelminthes; Trematoda; Opisthorchiida; Opisthorchiidae
Rfam family: tRNA
About the family: Transfer RNA (tRNA) molecules are approximately 80 nucleotides in length.
Source: Rfam by way of RNAcentral
GGCCUGGUGGUCUAGGGGUAUGAUACUCGCUUUGGGUGUGAGUGGUCCCGGGUUCAAAUCCCGGUCAGGCCC